GUUUCUCAAAGCGGCCGACACAGGAAGUACAGCUUCAGGUCUACCGUGUGCCUCAGCUAAGCUUCAGUUUACAGCAGGAAGCAGCAGCAGCAGCGGCGUUCAAAACAAAAGCAACUCUUCUGUGUUACAGCCUCAAGGUUUUACAUAAAGAUGGUGAACCAGCCCACACCAGGAGAGAGAGAGAGAGAGAGAGAGAGAGAGAGAGAGAGAGAGAGAGAGAGAGAGUACCGCAGUAAAGCAGAGGUCACACGGCCGCUGCGAGACCCACGCAGAGCACUUCACCACGUGCACGUGGCGGCUUCAUCCCCUGGGUUCCUGCUCCGAGGUGGAACUGAAGGAUGAGCCCGGGUUAUUUUUGACAGCCAAUUAAAAUGGAGGUGCAGCGGCCAAAAGGACGGGUGCUGAGAUCGAGUCCUCUCCCUUAAAAAGAUCCGUCAGACAUGUUUUAAAUAAAACACCCUGCUCUGAGUAGU
Molecule: long non-coding RNA, 473 nt
Organism: Micropterus salmoides (largemouth bass)
Lineage: Eukaryota; Metazoa; Chordata; Actinopteri; Centrarchiformes; Centrarchidae
Exons: 2
Source: RefSeq, a predicted model, not a curated record